AGCAGCCAUUGCGGUAAUUCCAGCUCCAAUAGCGUAUAUUAAAGUUGCUGCGGUUAAAAGCUCGUAGUUGAAUUUCGGAAUUGAUGCAUCGGUCGUGCCUUAAGGGGCAUGAACUGGUUAGCCAAUUUCUCACCUUCUGGUGAAUUGUUGAUGUUCUUAAUGGGUGUCUCAAUGAACAGAAUUUUUUACUUUGAAAAA
This 198-nucleotide ribosomal RNA is filed under the name uncultured Glomeromycotina. RNAcentral's name for it is "partial small subunit ribosomal RNA". It matches the Rfam family "Eukaryotic small subunit ribosomal RNA", at positions 569 to 764 of the family's 1831-position model. Lineage: Eukaryota; Fungi; Glomeromycota. The record is from RNAcentral.